AUUGAACGCUGGCGGCAUGCCUUACACAUGCAAGUCGAACGGCAGCGCGGGGCAACCUGGCGGCGAGUGGCGAACGGGUGAGUAACAUAUCGGAACAUACCCUAGAGUGGGGGAUAACGUAGCGAAAGUUACGCUAAUACCGCAUACGCACUAAGGUGGAAAGUGGGGGAUCUUCGGACCUCAUGCUCAUGGAGUGGCCGAUAUCUGAUUAGCUAGUUGGUGAGGUAAAGGCUCACCAAGGCGACGAUCAGUAGCUGGUUUGAGAGAACGACCAGCCACACUGGAACUGAGACACGGUCCAGACUCCUACGGGAGGCAGCAGUGGGGAAUUUUGGGACAAUGGGGGCAACCCUGAUCCAGCAAUGCCGCGUGAGUGAAGAAGGCCUUCGGUUGUAAGCUCUUUGUCA
This 407-nucleotide ribosomal RNA is filed under the name uncultured bacterium. Its description in RNAcentral is "bacterial SSU rRNA". It matches the Rfam family "Bacterial small subunit ribosomal RNA", at positions 30 to 440 of the family's 1533-position model. The record is from RNAcentral.